AUGAUGUUAUUUUGUGAAAUUUCUAUCUUUUGAGGUCGGAGUUACUAUUCACAUAUACGACACUAUUCACGUAUACGACACUAUUCACAGAAAAAUUAAAUUUUCUUUUCUGUGUCCAAGAUUGUCUGUUAUGAUUCCUAUCUUUGAUUGGAUCUAUGUUUUGAUCUUCAUUCUUGAAUUUUACUCCAAUCUGGUUAUUUAUGAAGUAUUUUUGAACU
Molecule: long non-coding RNA, 218 nt
Filed under: Panax ginseng (ginseng)
Lineage: Eukaryota; Viridiplantae; Streptophyta; Magnoliopsida; Apiales; Araliaceae
Description: long non-coding RNA (PGIN_LNC006525)
Source: RNAcentral